CAAUAGCGUAUAUUAAAGUUGUUGCAGUUAAAAAGCUCGUAGUUGGAUUUCGGGGUGGCCUGGCUGGUCCGCCGCAAGGUGAGUACUGGUCAGCCGCCCUUCCUCUCGAAAGCCCCGACUGCUCUUUACUGCAGUGGUCGGGUAGUUCGGGACGUUUACUUUGAAAAAAUUAGAGUGUUCAAGGCAGGCUAUCGCCUGAAUACAUUAGCAUGGAAUAAUGGAAGAGGACCUCGGUCCUAUUUUGUUGGUUUCUAGGGCCGAAGUAAUGAUUAAGAGGGACAGUUGGGGGCAUUCGUAUUUAAUUGUCAGAGGUGAAAUUCUUGGAUUUAUGAAAGACGAACUAGUGCGAAAGCAUUCGCCAAGGAUGUUUUCAUUAA
Molecule: ribosomal RNA, 377 nt
Filed under: uncultured eukaryote
Lineage: Eukaryota
Description: partial 18S ribosomal RNA
Rfam family: Eukaryotic small subunit ribosomal RNA
Source: RNAcentral